GCUGUUACUAUAUCUGGGUAGAUGGCUUUCUCUUAUAUGCCUUGAUGUGUUGUUCGAUUACACCACAUUCCUCAUGGAGGCUGCUUGGACCUUUUUUUCCCCCUUAUUAGAGAGGAAAGAUUCAUAACUUUCUUGUCAAUAAAGGGUAGACAAUAAUUAGUUUACGUGAAAAUGGCUUGCGCAGUCUUGAUCCUUGGAGGAUGCAAAGAUCAGCCUUGUCAUUGAGAUAAAAAGUUUUUCUAGAGGAGUAUGCUCCUUUUAGAAUAUCUUGAAGACAGACUCUUGGGUUCAAGCUGGUCCUAGCUAUUUCGAGUUGCAAGCAAGGUAGUCUGACCUGAUUGGGGCUUGAUUGGGAUCCGGCGUUGAGCCAACCAAGAUUGAACCGCAUUUGACUCCUGUGGGGUGCACACGUGGCGCCAGAGGUCAGCCUUACUCCGAUUUGGGAGAGCCCCGAUCCUACCUUGAACAUGUCAAAAAUAAGAAGAAGUGGGUCGAUAAUGAGUAGCAGGAGAAGGAGAUUUAUGAGUGUUGGGAACAGAGCUGGUCAUUAAUGCAAUCAAUCUGCCUACGUGGAGAAGCAGAAGAAGAAGGAGAAGAAGAAGGAGAAGGGGAUCUCCUUUGGGUAUUAAUCUCUCUGGGUUCCAUUUGAAGAAGGGAAAGCGUUGCAGCAGCUGCUGUUGGUUCAGCUUGUUACCAUCAUUACAGCGGUUCGCUGAGGGGAUCUGAGCUGAAGUGGACUAGGGCUCGAUGCUGUUCUAUGAAUUAACCUAUAAAUGGAAAGUUCUUCCUUCUGAAUUAUGCUAUUUGCCUCGGUUGAAGCUGGAGCACGGGUACGGUGAUUCUCUGCGCAGGUCUGCAGGUACUUCUUAGAUGCAGUGGAGAAGAAGCAGUACGGGUGGUUCUGGGUGUGCCCUAAUGGCGGCAAGGAGUGCCACUACAGGCACGCCCUCCCCCCUGGUUACGUGCUCAAAUCCCAGAUGAAGGCCUUGCUGGAGGAAGAGUCCGAGAAGAUAUCCAUCGAGGAGGAGAUCGAGAGCCAGGUGAUCUCCGCCGCUUCACAUCCGCCGUGCUUCCUCUGGGAAGCCCGUUGACUUAGCUCCGUGGUCAAGAUAUUGACUGGGCAUCUGUUCUCUCCCCAAGCGAGCAAAAGUCGCCACGUCCACGCCCAUGACCCCGGAGCUGUUCAUGCAAUGGAAGAAGAAGAAGAUAGAAGAGAGAGAAGCCGGGCUCGCGGCGAUGCGCGCAGAGAGGGC
RNAcentral lists this long non-coding RNA (1253 nucleotides) under Spirodela polyrhiza (greater duckweed). RNAcentral's name for it is "long non-coding RNA (SPOL_LNC001769)". The record is from RNAcentral. Lineage: Eukaryota; Viridiplantae; Streptophyta; Magnoliopsida; Alismatales; Araceae.